UACGUAGGGCGCAAGCGUUGUCCGGAAUUAUUGGGCGUAAAGAGCUCGUAGGCGGUCUGUCACGUCGGAAGUGAAAACCCGGGGCUUAACCCCGGGCUUGCUUUCGAUACGGGCAGACUAGAGUGUGGUAGGGGAGACUGGAAUUCCUGGUGUAGCGGUGAAAUGCGCAGAUAUCAGGAGGAACACCGGUGGCGAAGGCGGGUCUCUGGGCCACUACUGACGCUGAGGAGCGAAAGCUAGGGUAGCAAACGGG
Molecule: ribosomal RNA, 253 nt
Filed under: uncultured bacterium
Lineage: Bacteria
Description: partial 16S ribosomal RNA
Rfam family: Bacterial small subunit ribosomal RNA
Source: RNAcentral